GUGAGAUUCAACUGACAUAUAAAAUCAACUAAUCGUCCUCAACUAAAAUGAUACAUCAAGGCAAUUCUAUAUUUUUAUGAAGACACUUUAUGAAACAGCUUCAUCUAGGCAAUUAUAUUACAGAGAAAUACAGGUCAUUAACAAUUUACUCAUCAGCUUAAUUCCCGUUAGUCAAUACCAAAAAUGAAAAGAGAAGGAAAGGAGUAUAAUCUACCACCUAGUUUUUCCACUUGUACUUUGCUGACAUUUUUAAUUACAUAUCACCAAUCUCAUCAUCAACAUCUACCUUUGAGAGAGCCAUCAACCGUGCCUGCAAACCACCGUUAAGAUCCUUCUUGUUGUUUCCAGCUUGCCAAUGGCUAGCUUUGAUAUUCCACAUUUCACUAAGACAAUUCCAAGAGAUUUGAACGUCCAGUCAUCAGGUUGUAUAGCAGCUUCUACCAUUUCCUUGAAAGUUCCCACCGCCUCUUUUAAUCUGCCAUCCAACACGUACAGCCCAAGCACAUUAUUGAAGCUCAACAAAUCAGUCAAAAGGCCCAGUUCUCUCAUUUGUUUUGCAAUUUGAAUGGCUUCUUCAAACCUCCCAAGCCUUUUGUACAUGCAUAACAUCAUUGCAAAAGUAAAUUCAUUUGCAUCCCCAUUUCUCUUCAUGCUCACAAAAAUCUCUUCUGCUUGUUUGACCAUAGAAUGCUCACUGUAGAGAUCUAUCAUACAAUUUGAAGAAUAUGCAUCAGGACCCACAUCUGAUGAUUGAAGCAGUUUGUAUGUUUCUUGUGCUUCUCUCAAGUAGCCAACUUUGGUAUAGAGCUUGAUCAAGGAAUUGUAUACGACUGUAUUUCCAGGCAAACCUGCUCUUUUCAUUGCAUCAACAUAAGUGAUGGCUUUUUUGACACUUCCAGCAUCAGCAAAAGCAUUUAUCAACACGCCAUAAACUAUAACAUCCGGCUUCACAUCAAAGCUAAUCAUCUCCUUAUAUAGCUCCUCUGCCAUUUCCAGUCUACCUAAUUUCACGAAGCUUGAGAUUACAGCACAAUAUUGAAUGCAAUCACUAACCAGUCCUGCCUCUUGCAUCUUCUUCAGAUAGUAUUUUGCUUUGUCUGGUAAGUCAGCACUAGCCAAAAUCUGUAUGAGAGAACUAUAGCUAAAUAUAUCUGGAACUACACCAUAACUCUCCAUGCUAUCAAACAAGACACAUGCUUUAUCAUAAUUCUUUCCUAAACCAUAUGCUUUGAUCAUCACAUUGAACUCAAGGACGGUAAGCUUGUUCUGUUCUUGGCAGCAUCUAAAAACUUUAGCAGCUUCCAAAAUAUGUCCACGCUCCCCAUAUGCAUCAAUGUUGGCAGAAUAACACUCAGAAGUCAUAUUUCCAGCAAGAUGAAACCUCCUGAACCAUAACCAUGACUUCUCAAGCAUCCCAGCUUCUAUGUACAUUCUAGUCAGAGCUGACUGUGUAUACUCAUCAAUCUCUAAACCCUUUUCAUCCAUCUCUGAAACCAAAUCUUCUGCAUCAUUUACCAUUUGUCUUAUUGAGAAUGCAUAUAGGAGGGUGCGGUAACUCACAAGGUCUGGCUGCAACUGAUCUUCCUUCAUCCUUUUAAAGAAGCCAGCUGCCAUGUUUAUAUCAUUGUGCUUAGUAUGCAGGGAAAUGAGAAUAUUAUAUGUCCUUGUAUCAGGCGGGCAUCGAAGCUCCUCCAUCUUCUGCAUAAGUAAAGCCACUUCUUCAAGCUGGCCAUGAUUACCACAAAUAUGAAUCAUCGUAUUGAAAGUUACUGUUGUUGGCACAAUCCCUUUCCUAAGCAUCUCUGCAAAAGUCUCAGAUGCUUCUUUAAGCUGCCCAGCUUUGCCGUAGGUGUCUAUCAACGUAUUAUACGUGUAUGAGCUCAAAAAAAGAUUUGCUCGUGUAUCAUUCUCCAGUCUAGAACUAGCUUUACUGAUUCCUCCAUGCUUCAAAGAUUCACCCAACGACCACUUCUUGAAAAACUCCUCGGCUUUUUGAAACUCCCCUGCCUUCUUGUACAUUUGCACAACAAUCCCCAUUGUUACCUCAUCAGGUUCCAUUCCUCGCUCAUUCAUCUUCUCAAGCCACAGAAGUGCCUCUCCCUUAAGGCCACCCUUGGUAUAAACAUCAAUCAAUGUACCAUAUGUAGAAUUGAUAGGCGAAAUCUUUCUAAUAUUCAUUUCCUUGCACAAACAUUCAAGGUGGCUCCAUUGCUGCUCUUUGCCAAGAAUCCUAAUCAUGAUGUUAUAAUGAAUAAUAUUCAGCUCAUAACAACCCUUUCUUUUAAACCACUCAAAGAUCUCCAUGGCUCUCUCCCAACUAUACUGCUCCUUCAAAAUUAUGCUUCUUUCUUUGUUACUAAGUGUAUCUUCCCAUGGUCUGAAUGCCUCGUCCAAGUCUUUAAUUGUAUCCAAAGCAUGCAAAAUUGCUGGAAUACAACCGCCAUAAUUUCCCCAUUUCGUCGAACACUUGGUGUGCAAUUUGUUGACAGAGCCAUUGCCGUUCAACCCAUUUAGUUUAGCCCCAAAACUCUUCUUGCUUGAAACUUUAGCAGCAUCCCUUGUGGUAUUUUUGAGCUCCCUAUCAGAGUUCUUCUCCAAAACCCGAUACUUUUUGUAAAUUACAUUGAACCGCUUCUCUUUUCCAGUGGAUGUCUCAAGGAGUGUUCGUUCUCUUAAUUUCCUGAUGGGUUCAACUUUUUCUAGCGGAGAAACAGAAACUCCUACAUUUGGUGAGGCCCUGGUGGAGCUGAAUAUGUGGAAACUAUUGGUAUUUAACUGAAGCUUCACAUACAUUGGGAUGUGAUGUGCUUAAAUUCUAGAGAUUAGUGAGACUUCAAGAAAAUUAGUUCCAACUUUCAAGUAAGUUCGAGGCAAUUGGGAUUCACCGGUCAUGCAAUGGUAUCACACUUUUUAGCGUUU
RNAcentral lists this unclassified non-coding RNA (2919 nucleotides) under Hevea brasiliensis (rubber tree). The record is from RNAcentral. Lineage: Eukaryota; Viridiplantae; Streptophyta; Magnoliopsida; Malpighiales; Euphorbiaceae.